RNAcentral lists this transfer RNA (73 nucleotides) under Camelus bactrianus (Bactrian camel). It matches the Rfam family "tRNA". Rfam says of the family: Transfer RNA (tRNA) molecules are approximately 80 nucleotides in length. Their secondary structure includes four short double-helical elements and three loops (D, anti-codon, and T loops). Further hydrogen bonds mediate the characteristic L-shaped molecular structure. tRNAs have two regions of fundamental functional importance: the anti-codon, which is responsible for specific mRNA codon recognition, and the 3' end, to which the tRNAs corresponding amino acid is attached (by aminoacyl-tRNA synthetases). tRNAs cope with the degeneracy of the genetic code in two manners: having more than one tRNA (with a specific anti-codon) for a particular amino acid; and 'wobble' base-pairing, i.e. permitting non-standard base-pairing at the 3rd anti-codon position. The record is from Rfam by way of RNAcentral. RNAcentral also lists the same sequence under 2 other names. Lineage: Eukaryota; Metazoa; Chordata; Mammalia; Artiodactyla; Camelidae.
GGGUAUAUAAGCUCAGUGGUAGAGUGCAUGCCUAGCAUGCAUGAGGUCCUGGGUUCAAUCCCCAGUACCUCCA